AGCAGCCGCGGUAAUUCCAGCUCCAAUAGCGUAUAUUAAAGUUGCUGCAGUUAAAAAGCUCGUAGUUGAAUUUCGGGACCAUCAUGUCGGUCGUGCCUCGGUACGUACUGGCAUUGUUGGUUUCUACCUUCUGACGAACCAUGAUGUCAUUAAUUUGGUGUCUUGGGGAAUCAGGACUGUUACUUUGAAAAAAUUAGAGUGUUUAAAGCAGGCUCGCGCUUGAAUACAUUAGCAUGGAAUAAUGAAAUAGGACGUUUGAUUCUAUUUUGUUGGUUUCUAGGAUCGACGUAAUGAUUAAUAGGGAUAGUUGGGGGCAUUAGUAUUCAAUUGUCAGAGGUGAAAUUCUUGGAUUUAUUGAAGACUAACUACUGCGAAAGCAUUUGCCAAGGAUGUUUUCAUUAAUCAAGAACGAAAGUUAGGGGAUCGAAGACGAUCAGAUACCGUCGUAGUCUUAACCAUAAACUAUGCCGACUAGGGAUCGGAUGAUGUUAAUUUUUAAUGA
This 502-nucleotide ribosomal RNA is filed under the name uncultured Glomus. RNAcentral's name for it is "SSU rRNA". It matches the Rfam family "Eukaryotic small subunit ribosomal RNA", at positions 569 to 1074 of the family's 1831-position model. The record is from RNAcentral. Lineage: Eukaryota; Fungi; Glomeromycota; Glomeromycetes; Glomerales; Glomeraceae.